CAGGAGUGAGCCGAUUCUGCAUUAAGAAGCUCCUGCAGAUGCUGAAACUGUUGAUCUGUGAGCCACACUUCAAAUGUUAAGGACAUACUUUGAAGGCCACCUACAUGUGAAGUGGCCCAAGCUGGCAAAGAUGUGGAGAGAAAGAAACCUCUCUACACUGCUGUUGGGAAAGUAAAUUAGUACAACCACAAUGGAGAUCAGUACAGAGAUCCUUCAAAACACCAAAAAUAGAAAUAGAUGUUCAUCACCGUCCCAGCUGGUGGACUGUUCUGCUAGGUUGAGACUGAUAAAAGCUAAAGACAAGAUGCUUCACUCAGUCAAUCACAAGUGCAUAUUUGAGGUGAUGACCGUGAUGAUGCCCCGCGGUCCAGAACUGAUGACAGGAGAGCUCGACUUCCUGUCUUCAGAGGGAUAAUGGGCUUUGGGGAAAGCAAAAACCAGCGGCAGAGCUUAACCAUCAGAGGUCCUGCAUCUUAAAGGUUCCAUCACUUCCACCAUAGCCACGGGCUGGGGACCAAGCCGUCCACACAUGAAUACGGAUCAAGCUUUCAACAUCUAAAUGAUACCACAAAGGAAAAAGAAUUUUUGUGAUAGCAGUGAGAAGCAAGAAAAAAGUU
Long non-coding RNA from Fukomys damarensis (Damara mole-rat), 617 nucleotides. RefSeq lists it as uncharacterized. The record is from RefSeq and is a predicted model, not a curated record. NCBI's taxonomy places the organism in Eukaryota, Metazoa, Chordata, Mammalia, Rodentia, Bathyergidae. The transcript has 4 exons.